GAUGACUGGGAGGCUGGAUGCGUGGCAGCCCUGGGUCUGCUUGGUGCUCUGGCUCGCUCUGACGAGCCCGUGAUGACGGAGAAGCUGCCCCAAGUUGCUGAGGCUGUGCAGUGUCUGUGCAGCGACCCCAGGAUCCGGGUGAGGACGGCUCUUCUAUAUUUCAUCAAGGAUCUGCUCAGUUCUAACACCCGGAGCUGCUCAGCCUGGGAUGUGGUGGGGCACAUCUUCAGGGAGUUCAACCGCGCCACGGGAAGAAGG
This is a non-coding RNA of Meleagris gallopavo (turkey), 258 nucleotides long. NCBI's taxonomy places the organism in Eukaryota, Metazoa, Chordata, Aves, Galliformes, Phasianidae. The record is from RefSeq and is a predicted model, not a curated record.